This is a long non-coding RNA of Hemicordylus capensis (graceful crag lizard), 12373 nucleotides long. RefSeq lists it as uncharacterized. The transcript has 2 exons. Lineage: Eukaryota; Metazoa; Chordata; Lepidosauria; Squamata; Cordylidae. The record is from RefSeq and is a predicted model, not a curated record.
CACGUCUUUGCACUGGGGAGCCCCUAUAAUAUUUGGAGCAUGGCCUUUGUAGUUGUCAUAUACUGAGGAGCCCCUGAUCAGGUAAGGGUGGAGCUUUUUUCAUACAGGAAUUCACGUCUUAGCCCUGGGGAGCCCUGAUAAUAUUUGGAGCAUGGUCUUUGUAGUGGUCAUAUACUGAAGAGCCACUGAUCUAUUUGGGGUGUACUUUUUUCAUGCAGGACUUUACGUCUUUGCACUGGGGAGCCCCUAUAUUAUUUGGAGCAUGGUCUUUGUAGUGGUCAUAUACUAAAGAACCACAGAUCUAUUUGGGGUACACUUUUUCAUGCAGGACAUCACGUCUUUGCACUAGGGAGCCCCUAUAUUAUUUGGAGCAUGGUCUUUGUAGUGGUAAUAUACUGAAGAGCCCCUGAAGUUCAUGGGGUGCCCUUUUUUCCUGCUGGACUGCAUGUCUCAGCACUGGGCAGCCCCUAUAAUAAUUGGAGCAUGGUCUGUGUAGUGGUAAUAUACUGAAGAGCCCCUGAAGUUCAUGGGGUGCCCUUUUUCUCCUGCUGGUCUUCAUGUCUCAGCACUGGGCAGCCCCUAUAAUAAUUGGAGCAUGGUCUGUGUAGUGGUAAUAUACUGAAGAGCCCCUGAAGUUCAUGGGGUGCCCCUUUUUUACUGCUGGACUGCAUGUCUUAGCACUGGGCAGCCCUUAUAAUAUUUGAAGCAUGGUCUUUGUAGUGGUCAUAUACUAAAGAACGACUGAUCUAUUUGGGGUGCACUUUAUUCAUGCAGGACUUCACGUCUUUGAAAUGGAGAGCCCCUAUAAUAUUUGGAGCAUGGUCUUUGUAGUGGUCAUAUACUGAAGAGCCCCUGAAGUGCCAGUGGACUUCAUGUCUCAUCACUGGGGAGCCCCUAUAAUGUUUGGAGCAUGGUCUUUGUAGUGGUCAUAUACUGAAGAGCCCCUGAAAUUCCAGGGGUGCCCCUUUUUUCCUGCUGGACUUCAUGUCUCAGCAUAGGGUGCCCCUAUAAUAUUUGGAGCAUGGUCUUUGUAGUGGUCAUAUACUGAAGAGCUUCUGAUCUGUUUGGGAUGCAGCUUUAUUCCUGCUGGACUGCAUGUCUUAGCGCUGGGCAGCCCCUAUAAUAAUUGGAGCAAGGUCUUUUUAGUGGUAAUAUACUGAAGAGCCACUGAUCUAUUUGGGGUGUACUUUAUUCAUUCAGGACUUCACGUCUUUGCAAUGGGGAGCCCCUAUAAUAUUUGGAGCAUGGUCUUUGUAAUGGUCAUAUACUGAAGAGCCCCUGAAGUGCAGGUGGACUUCAUGUCUUUGCACUGGGGAGCCCCUAUAAUAUUUGGAGCAUGGCCUUUGUAGUUGUCAUAUUCUCAGGAGCCCCUGAUCUGGUAAGGGUGGAGCUUUUUUCAUGCUGGACUUCACGUCUUAGCCAUGGGGAGCCACUAUAAUAUUUGGAGCAUGGUCUUUGUAGUGCUCAUAUACUGAAGAUCCCCUGAAGUGCCUGGGGUGCCCCUUUUUUCCUGCUGGACUUCACGUCUUUGCACUGGGGAGCCCCUAUAAUAUUUGGAGCAUGGUCUUUGUAGUGGUCAUAUACUGAAGAGCCCCUGAAGUUCCGGGGUGCCCCUUUUUUCCUGCUGGACUUCAUGUCUUUGCACUGGGGAGCCCCUAUAAUAUUUGGAGCAUUGCCUUUGUAGUGGCCUUACUGAAGAACCCCUGAUCUGGUUGGGGUGAAGAAGCUCUUUUCAUGCUGGACUACUUUGUCCUGGGGAGCCCCUCAUUUGAAUGGGGUGCAGCUCUUUUCAUGCUGGACUUCAUGUCUUUGCGCUGAGAAGCCUCCCCAAUUGUGGGAGUAUGGGCUUCUCAGAAUGGACUUAGUGACUGUACGCUGAGUGGUUGCUCAUUUAUCUGGAGUUUGUCUAGCUCCAUUCCAGGCUACGUGACUUCGCCCUUCAUCCUACGAGUGUUGAUGUGGUAGGAGCUCUCAACUGCCCCAUCCCUUUGGCCUCCCUGACCUCUUCAAGCAGCGUGGUGGUGUGAUGAAGGCGCCCUUCAUCCUGUGAGUGUUGAUUUGGUAGGAUCUCUCAACUGCCCCAUCCCUUUGGCCUCCCUGACCUCUUCAAGCAGCGUGAUGGUGUGAUGAGCGGGUUCUGCUGGCUGAAGGCACACGGUGAGUAGACUCUGGCCAGGCAUGGAGGAGACGCAUGCUGAAGCCUGAAGCUUUCCGGUCUCAUUCUCCUUGGGUUGGGCUCUUGGAUGAACAGCCUGGUCCUCAAGAAGGCCUUCUAAAGAGGGGAAAGAGUAGAUUAUUUUUUUUAUUUAUCCACUUUCUAUAGAGCCCGUCCAAAAAUGGCUCAGGGCAGUUUACACAUAGAAAUAAUAAAUAACUCAGAUGGAUCUGUGUUCAAGAGGGGCUCACAAUCUCACAAAGCGACAGCAGAUAGACAGCAGCAACAGGCACUGGAGGUCCUUUGUAGUGGUCAUAUACUGAAGAGCCACUGAUCUAUUUGGGGUGCACUUUUUUCAUGCAGGACUUCACGUCUUUGCACUGGGGAGCCCCUAUAAUAUUUGGAGCAUGGCCUUUGUAGUGGCCAUACUGAAGAGCCCCUGAUCUGGUAAGGGUGGAGCUUCUUUCAUGCUGGACUUCACGUCUUAGCCAUGGAGAGCCACUAUAAUAUUUGGAGCAUGGUCUUUGUAGUGGUCAUAUACUGAAGAUCCCCUGAAGUGCCUGGGGUGCCCCUUUUUUCCUGCUGGACUACUUUGUCCUGGGGAGCCCCUCAUUUGGAUGGGGUGCAGCUCUUUUCAUGCUGGACUUCAUGUCUUUGCGCUGAGGAGCCCCCCCAAAUUGUGGGAGUAUUGGCUUCUCAGAAUGGACUUAGUGUCUGUAUGCUGAGUGGUUGCUCAUUUAUUGGUUGUAUUGUUUUAUGCCUACUUUAAUAUGUUUUUAUGCUUGUAACAUGAUGUUUUUAUUGUCUUUUUAUUGUAUGUUUUUAACUUUUGUAAAGCGCCUUGGGGUUAUCAUUUUAACGAAAGGCGGUAUAUAAAUGCAAAAAGAAAUAACAAAUAAAUAAAUAAAUUUAUCUGGAGUUUGUCUAGCUCCAUUCCUGGCUGCGUGACUUCGCCCUUCAUCCUGCGAGUGUUGAUGUGGUAGGAUCUCUUAACUGCCCCAUCCCCUUGGACUCCCUGACCUCUUCAAGCAGCGUGGUGGUGUGAUGAGCGGGUUCUGCUGGCUGAAGGCACACGGUGAGUGGACUCUGGCUAGGCAUGGAGACGCAUGCUGAAGCCUGAAGCUUUCCGGUCUCAUUCUCCUUGGGUUGGGAUCUUGGAUGAACAGCCCUGGUCCUCAAGAAGGCCUUCUAAAGAGGAGAAAGAGGAGAUUAUUAUUUUUUAUUUAUCCACUUUCUAUACCGGCCGUCCAAAAAUGGCUCGUGGCGGUUUACACAGAGAAAUAAUAAAUAAAUAAGAUGGAUCUGUGUUCACGAGGGGCUCACAAUCUCACAAAGCGAAAGAAGAUAGACAGCAGCAACAGUCACUGGAGGUCCUUUGUCGUGGUCAUAUACUGAAGAGCCACUGAUCUAUUUGGGGUGCACUUUUUUCAUGCAGGACUUCACGUCUUUGCACUGGGGAGCCCCUAUAAUAUUUGGAGCAUGGUCUUUGUAGUGGUCAUAUACUGAAGAGCCCCUGAAGUGCCGGGGUGCCCCUUUUUUCCUGCUGGACUUCAUGUCUUUGCACUGGGGAGCCCCUAUAAUAUUUGGAGCAUUGCCUUUGUAGUGGCCUUACUGAAGAACCCCUGAUCUGGUUGGGGUGAAGAAGCUCUUUUCAUGCUGGACUACUUUGUCCUGGGGAGCCCCUCAUUUGAAUGGGGUGCAGCUCUUUUCAUGCUGGACUUCAUGUCUUUGCGCUGAGAAGCCUCCCCAAUUGUGGGAGUAUGGGCUUCUCAGAAUGGACUUAGUGUCUGUACACUGAGUGGUUGCUCAUUUAUCUGGAGUUUGUCUAGCUCCAUUCCAGGCUACGUGACUUUGCCCUUCAUCCUGCGAGUGUUGAUGUGGUAGGAGCUCUCAACUGCCCCAUCCCUUUGGACUCCCUGACCUCUUCAAGCAGCGUGGUGGUGUGAUGAGCGGGUUCUGCUGGCUUGAAGGCACACGGUGAGUGGACUCUGGCCAGGCAUGGAGGAGACGCAUGCUGAAUGAAGCCUGAAGCUUUCCGGUCUCAUUCUCCUUGGGUUGGGCACUUGGAUGAACAGACCUGGUCCUCAAGAAGGCCUUCUUAAGAGGGGAAAGAGUAGAUUAUUUUUUUUAUUUAUCCACUUUCUAUAGAGCCCGUCCAAAAAUGGCUCAGGGCGGUUUACACAUAGAAAUAAUAAAUAACUCAAAUGGAUCUGUGUUCACGAGGGGCUCACAGGCUCACAAAGCGACAGAAGAUAGACAGCAGCAACAGUCACUGGAGGUCCUUUGUCGUGGUCAUAUACUGAAGAGCCACUGAUCUAUUUGGAGCGCACUUUUUUCCUGCUGGACCUCAUGUCUUUGCACUGGGGAGCCCCUAUAAUAUUUGGAGCAUGGUCUUUGUAGUGGCCAUACUGAAGAGCCCCUGAUCUGGUUGGGGUGAAGCUCUUUUCAUGCUGGACUACUUUGUCCCGGGAAGCCCCUACUUUGAAUGGGUUGCAGAUCUUUUCAUGCUGGACUUCAUGUCUUUGCGCUGAGGAGCCCCCCAAAUUGUGGGAGUAUGGGCUUCUCAGAAUGGACUUAGUGGUUCCUCAUUUAUCUGGAGUUUCUCCAGCUCCAUUCCUGGCUGCGUGACUUCCCCCUUCAUCCUGUGAGUGUUGAUGUGGUAGGAGCUCUCAACUGCCUCAUCCCUUUGGCCUCCCUGACCUCUUCAAGCAGCGUGGUGGUGUGAUGAAGGCACACGGUGGCUGCGUGACUUCGCCCUUCAUCCUGUGAGUGUUGAUGUGGUAGGAGCUCUCAACUGCCCCAUCCCUCUGGCCUCCCUGACCUCUUCAAGCAGCGUGGUGGUGUGAUGAAGGCACACGGUGGCUGCGUGACUUCGCCCUUCAUCCUGUGAGUGUUGAUGUGGUAGGAGCUCUCAACUGCCCCAUCCCUUUGGCCUCCCUGACCUCUUCAAGCAGCGUGAUGGUGUGAUGAGCGGGUUCUGCUGGCUGAAGGCACACGGUGAGUAGACUCUGGCCAGGCAUGGAGGAGACGCAUGCUGAAGCCUGAAGCUUUCCGGUCUCAUUCUCCUUGGGUUGGGCUCUUGGAUGAACAGCCCUGGUCCUCAAGAAGGCCUUCUAAAGAGGGGAAAGGGUAGAUUAUUUUUUUUAUUUAUCCACUUUCUAUAGAGCCCGUCCAAAAAUGGCUCAGGGCAGUUUACACAUAGAAAUAAUAAAUAACUCAGAUGGAUCUGUGUUCACGAGGGGCUCACAAUCUCACAAAGCGACAGCAGAUAGACAGCAGCAACAGGCACUGGAGGUCCUUUGUAGUGGUCAUAUACUGAAGAGCCACUGAUCUAUUUGGGGUGCACUUUUUUCAUGCAGGACUUCACGUCUUUGCACUGGGGAGCCCCUAUAAUAUUUGGAGCAUGGCCUUUGUAGUGGCCAUACUGAAGAGCCCCUGAUCUGGUAAGGGUGGAGCUUUUUUCAUGCUGGACUUCACGUCUUAGCCAUGGAGAGCCACUAUAAUAUUUGGAGCAUGGUCUUUGUAGUGGUCAUAUACUGAAGAUCCCCUGAAGUGCCUGGGGUGCCCCUUUGUUCCUGCUGGACUUCAUGUCUUUGCACUGGGGAGCCCCUAUAAUAUUUGGAGCAUGGCCUUUGUAGUUGUCAUAUUCUCAGGAGCCCCUGAUCUGGUAAGGGUGGAGCUUUUUUCAUGCUGGACUUCACGUCUUAGCCAUGGGGAGCCACUAUAAUAUUUGGAGCAUAGUCUUUGUAGUGGUCAUAUACUGAAGAUCCCCUGAAGUGCCUGGGGUGCCCCUUUUUUCCUGCUGGACUACUUUGUCCUGGGGAGCCCCUCAUUUGGAUGGGGUGCAGCUCUUUUCAUGCUGGACUUCAUGUCUUUGCGCUGAGGAGCCCCCCCAAAUUGUGGGAGUAUGGGCUUCUCAGAAUGGACUUAGUGUCUGUAUGCUGAGUGGUUGCUCAUUUAUUUGUUGUAUUGUUUUAUGCCUACUUUAAUAUGUUUUUAUGCUUGUAACAUGAUCUUUUUAUUGUCUUUUUAUUGUAUGUUUUUAACUUUUGUAAAGCGCCUUGGGGUUAUCAUUUUAACGAAAGGCGGUAUAUUAAUGCAAAAAGAAAUAACAAAUAAAUAAAAAAAUUUAUCUGGAGUUUGUCUAGCUCCAUUCCUGGCUGCGUGACUUCGCCCUUCAUCCUGCGAGUGUUGAUGUGGUAGGAUCUCUCAACUGCCCCAUCCCUUUGGCCUCCCUGACCUCUUCAAGCAGCGUGAUGGUGUGAUGAGCGGGUUCUGCUGGCUGAAGGCACACGGUGAGUAGACUCUGGCCAGGCAUGGAGGAGACGCAUGCUGAAGCCUGAAGCUUUCUGGUCUCAUUCUCCUUGGGUUGGGCUCUUGGAUGAACAGCCCUGGUCCUCAAGAAGGCCUUCUAAAGAGGGAAAAUAGUAGAUUAUUUUUUUUAUUUAUCCCCUUUCUAUAGAGCCCGUCCAAAAAUGGCUCAGGGCAGUUUACACAUAGAAAUAAUAAAUAACUCAGAUGGAUCUGUGUUCACGAGGGGCUCACAAUCUCACAAAGCGACAGCAGAUAGACAGCAGCAACAGGCACUGGAGGUCCUUUGUAGUGGUCAUAUACUGAAGAGCCACUGAUCUAUUUGGGGUGCACUUUUUUCAUGCAGGACUUCACGUCUUUGCACUGGGGAGCCCCUAUAAUAUUUGGAGCAUGGCCUUUGUAGUGGCCAUACUGAAGAUCCCCUGAAGUGCUUGGGGUGCCCCUUUUUUCCUGCUGGACUUCAUGUCUUUGCACUGGGGAGCCCCUAUAAUAUUUGGAGCAUGGCCUUUGUAGUGGUCAUAUACUGAAGAGCCCCUGAAGUGCCGGGGUGCCCCUUUUUUCCUGCUGGACUUCAUGUCUUUGCACUGGGGAGCCCCUAUAAUAUUUGGAGCAUUGCCUUUGUAGUGGCCUUACUGAAGAACCCCUGAUCUGGUUGGGGUGAAGAAGCUCUUUUCAUGCUGGACUACUUUGUCCAGGGGAGCCCCUCAUUUGAAUGGGGUGCAGCUCUUUUCAUGCUGGACUUCAUGUCUUUGCGCUGAGAAGCCUCCCCAAUUGUGGGAGUAUGGGCUUCUCAGAAUGGACUUAGUGUCUGUACGCUGAGUGGUUGCUCAUUUAUCUGGAGUUUGUCCAGCUCCAUUCCAGGCUACGUGACUUCGCCCUUCAUCCUGCGAGUGUUGAUGUGGUAGGAGCUCUCAAUUGCCCCAUCCCUCUGGCCUCCCUGACCUCUUCAAGCAGCGUGGUGGUGUGAUGAAGGCACACGGUGGCUGCGUGACUUCGCCCUUCAUCCUGUGAGUAUUGAUGUGGUAGGAUCUCUCAACUGCCCCAUCCCUUUGGCCUCCCUGACCUCUUCAAGCAGCGUGAUGGUGUGAUGAGCGGGUUCUGCUGGCUGAAGGCACACGGUGAGUAGACUCUGGCCAGGCAUGGAGGAGACGUAUGCUGAAGCCUGAAGCUUUCCGGUCUCAUUCUCCUUGGGUUGGGCUCUUGGAUGAACAGCCCUGGUCCUCAAGAAGGCCUUCUAAAGAGGGGAAAGAGUAGAUUAUUUUUUUUAUUUAUCCCCUUUCUAUAGAGCCCGUCCAAAAAUGGCUCAGGGCAGUUUACACAUAGAAAUAAUAAAUAACGCAGAUGGAUCUGUGUUCACGAGGGGCUCACAAUCUCACAAAGCGACAGCAGAUAGACAGCAGCAACAGGCACUGGAGGUCCUUUGUAGUGGUCAUAUACUGAAGAGCCACUGAUCUAUUUGGGGUGCACUUUUUUCAUGCAGGACUUCACGUCUUUGCACUGGGGAGCCCCUAUAAUAUUUGGAGCAUGGCCUUUGUAGUGGCCAUACUGAAGAUCCCCUGAAGUGCUUGGGGUGCCCCUUUUUUCCUGCUGGACUUCAUGUCUUUGCACUGGGGAGCCACUAUAAUAUUUGGAGCAUGGCCUUUGUAAUUGUCAUAUUCUCAGGAGCCCCUGAUCUGGUAAGGGUGGAGCUUCUUUCAUGCUGGACUUCACGUCUUAGCCAUGGGGAGCCACUAUAAUAUUUGGAGCAUGGUCUUUGUAGUGGUCAUAUACUGAAGAUCCCCUGAAGUGCCUGGGGUGCCCCUUUUUUCCUGCUGGACUACUUUGUCCUGGGGAGCCCCUCAUUUGGAUGGGGUGCAGCUCUUUUCAUGCUGGACUUCAUGUCUUUGCGCUGAGGAGCCCCCCCAAAUUGUGGGAGUAUGGGCUUCUCAGAAUGGACUUAGUGUCUGUAUGCUGAGUGGUUGCUCAUUUAUUUGUUGUAUUGUUUUAUGCCUACUUUAAUAUGUUUUUAUGCUUGUAACAUGAUGUUUUUAUUGUCUUUUUAUUGUAUGUUUUUAACUUUUGUAAAGCGCCUUGGGGUUAUCAUUUUAACGAAAGGCGGUAUAUAAAUGCAAAAAGAAAUAAAAAAAUAAAUAAAAAAAUUUAUCUGGAGUUUGUCUAGCUCCAUUCCUGGCUGCGUGACUUCGCCCUUCAUCCUGCGAGUGUUGAUGUGGUAGGAUCUCUCAACUGCCCCAUCCCCUUGGACUCCCUGACCUCUUCAAGCAGCGUGGUGGUGUGAUGAGCGGGUUCUGCUGGCUGAAGGCACACGGUGAGUGGACUCUGGCUAGGCAUGGAGACGCAUGCUGAAGCCUGAAGCUUUCCGGUCUCAUUCUCCUUGGGUUGGGCUCUUGGAUGAACAGCCCUGGUCCUCAAGAAGGCCUUCUAAAGAGGAGAAAGAGGAGAUUAUUAUUUUUUAUUUAUCCACUUUCUAUACCGGCCGUCCAAAAAUGGCUCGUGGCGGUUUACACAGAGAAAUAAUAAAUAAAUAAGAUGGAUCUGUGUUCACGAGGGGCUCACAAUCUCACAAAGCGAAAGAAGAUAGACAGCAGCAACAGUCACUGGAGGUCCUUUGUCGUGGUCAUAUACUGAAGAGCCACUGAUCUAUUUGGGGUGCACUUUUUUCAUGCAGGACUUCACGUCUUUGCACUGGGGAGCCCCUAUAAUAUUUGGAGCAUAGUCUUUGUAGUGGUCAUAUACUGAAGAGCCCCUGAAGUGCUGGGGUGCCCCUUUUUUCCUGCUGGACUUCAUGUCUUUGCACUGGGGAGCCCCUAUAAUAUUUGGAGCAUUGCCUUUGUAGUGGCCUUACUGAAGAACCCCUGAUCUGGUUGGGGUGAAGAAGCUCUUUUCAUGCUGGACUACUUUGUCCUGGGGAGCCCCUCAUUUGAAUGGGGUGCAGCUCUUUUCAUGCUGGACUUCAUGUCUUUGUGCUGAGAAGCCUCCCCAAUUGCGGGAGUAUGGGCUUCUCAGAAUGGACUUAGUGUCUGUACGCUGAGUGGUUGCUCAUUUAUCUGGAGUUUGUCUAGCUCCAUUCCAGGCUACGUGACUUCGCCCUUCAUCCUGCGAGUGUUGAUGUGGUAGGAGCUCUCAACUGCCCCAUCCCUUUGGACUCCCUGACCUCUUCAAGCAGCGUGGUGGUGUGAUGAGCGGGUUCUGCUGGCUGAAGGCACACGGUGAGUGGACUCUGGCCAGGCAUGGAGGAGACGCAUGCUGAAUGAAGCCUGAAGCUUUCCGGUCUCAUUCUCCUUGGGUUGGGCACUUGGAUGAACAGACCUGGUCCUCAAGAAGGCCUUCUAAAGAGGGGAAAGAGUAGAUUUUUUUUUUAUUUAUCCACUUUCUAUAGAGCCCGUCCAAAAAUGGCUCAGGGCGGUUUACACAUAGAAAUAAUAAAUAACUCAGAUGGAUCUGUGUUCACGAGGGGCUCACAGGCUCACAAAGCGACAGAAGAUAGACAGCAGCAACAGUCACUGGAGGUCCUUUGUCGUGGUCAUAUACUGAAGAGCCACUGAUCUAUUUGGAGCGCACUUUUUUCCUGCUGGACCUCAUGUCUUUGCACUGGGGAGCCCCUCUAAUAUUUGGAGCAUGGUCUUUGUAGUGGCCAUACUGAAGAGCCCCUGAUCUGGUUGGGGUGAAGCUCUUUUCAUGCUGGACUACUUUGUCCUGGGAAGCCCCUACUUUGAAUGGGUUGCAGAUCUUUUCAUGCUGGACUUCAUGUCUUUGCGCUGAGGAGCCCCCCAAAUUGUGGGAGUAUGCGCUUCUCAGAAUGGACUUAGUGGUUCCUCAUUUAUCUGGAGUUUGUCUAGCUCCAUUCCUGUCUGCCUGACUUCGCCCUUCAUCCUGUGAGUGUUGAUUUGGUAGGAUCUCUCAAGUGCCCCAUCCCUCUGGCCUCCCUGACCUCUUCAAGCAGCGUGGUGGUGUGAUGAAGGCACACGGUGGCUGCGUGACUUCGCCCUUCAUCCUGUGAGUGUUGAUGUGGUAGGAGCUCUCAACUGCCCCAUCCCUUUGGCCUCCCUGACCUCUUCAAGCAGCGUGAUGGUGUGAUGAGCGGGUUCUGCUGGCUGAAGGCACACGGUGAGUAGACUCUGGCCAGGCAUGGAGGAGACGCAUGCUGAAGCCUGAAGCUUUCCGGUCUCAUUCUCCUUGGGUUGGGCUCUUGGAUGAACAGCCCUGGUCCUCAAGAAGGCCUUCUAAAGAGGGAAAAUAGUAGAUUAUUUUUUAUUUAUUAUGAUUUAUUUGUUGUAUACUGCCUUUCCAAAAAUGGCUCAGGGUGUGUUACACAGAGAAAUAAUAAAUAAAUUAGAUGGAUCUCUGUCCCCAAAUGGCUCACAGUCUUAACAAAGAGACAUAAGAUAGACACCAGCAACAGUCACUGGAGAUACUGUGCUGGGGGUGGAGAGGGCCUAAAGAGAAUCACCCCAUGAAAAGGUGCCUCUUUGCCAAUUGAGCAGGAGUUCUUGAAAGGUAUGAACCUUUUUUCUUUGUUUUUGAAGGCAAAGGGGAGAAUGGAGAGAAGAAAGAGGUACAGGAGGAGGAAGAGGAAGGAGCAGGAAGGCGCAAGAGGAGACGUGGAAAGUCGCCGGAGGAGACUGUCUCAUGCUAGACCUGAAAAGAGAACAGGAGCAAGAUUGAAGGAAGAACUGCGGAUCAAGGAGAAAGAACAUCAGCAAGGUGGCACCGGAGCCCUGAAUACUUCCUGGAGAAGCGGGAGGCGAUGACUUGAUAACAAGAAGCAGGAGAGAAGAAACAGGCAGGCUCCCCUCCUCGGAGCUGGCUGGCUGGCUCAUGCUUUUCUUCAUGACUGAGGACAAUUCUGUCACAUACAAUAUCCCCACAGCGCUGUGAGGCAUCUGCCACCUGAAGAUGGUGGCUCUCUCCAAAGGACUUGCAUUUUUGGUGGCCUAUAAAUAUUGGCACAGCUCUGCGUAGCCUGUCGGCUGGUGGGGGUCUCCAAGGAGCGGCAUGCUUCAGGGGCCGUUUUCUGGCAGUUCAGUCUUCAGGCCUGGUCUCCUGUCUCUGCUGCUUCCUGCUCAGAGAAGUCCCCAAGAUACUUGGAGUGUGAUUUUCUUCAUGCCUGGCUUGAUAUCUCUGCUGCAGAUUACUAAGAGCAGCCACUGGCCUUGGGGGCAUCCAGGGUUUUAUCCUGGAUGGCUUCUCCACGCGCGCAAACCCCCCCCCCCAUUAUUUUGUGUGCUGCUUGCAAUAUUGUUUAAAUACACACUUAAAAUAGGUUAAAAACUAAAACAAAAAUAGCUAUUGCCCAGGAUAACCUCUAAGAGGCUAGGAUAAAACCUAAAAAGAAUAAAUGAGUGUAGGUAGUAUAAUAUGAUAAAAUCUAAUAGAAUAGGGUAAAAUCUAAAAAGAAUGAAGUAGUAUAGUAUAAGAAAUAAGCUCUGUUAAUUAGGGAGGCUAGUGGAAAAUAGAAUGAAGCAUUAUCAAAGCAGAUUAGAUAUUUUAGACCAACUAGUGUAUUCAAAUAAUAUUCAAAGCAGCAUAUGGAAAUGAUGAGAAAAAGCACAUUGAGACUAAAUAAAAGCCUGAAAGGCCAGAACACGCUCCUUGCCCCAGCCCCUCAGGUAGCUUUUAAGUGGCUCCAGGUCUCUUCCUGCUAGGAUCCUACAGACUUUCUCCCCUUGAUCCAAAGGAGAGUGGGGGUGGGAUUUGAUGUAGAAAUAAAGAUCAAUGUUAAUUGUCUUUAUAUAGCUUUGCUUACUGACAUGCUUAUAGGAUGCUGAAGAUGGUGUUUCUGUCAAGCACACAGAAUUGAUCCUUGUUUCAAGUUGUCUUAAUCUGUGUUUUAUUGUAAAUGGCCCAGAGACAUGAGUUUUGGGCGGUAUACAAAUAUGCUAAAUAAAAAGUUGUCAAUAUUGUCUGCUA